Molecule: long non-coding RNA, 860 nt
Organism: Cuculus canorus (common cuckoo)
Lineage: Eukaryota; Metazoa; Chordata; Aves; Cuculiformes; Cuculidae
Exons: 3
Source: RefSeq, a predicted model, not a curated record
UUGCCCGGCAGGUGUUGUAUUGGUGCCCUGAUUUUCCUCUUUCUUUUCUCCCCCAGGCACCGGAGCGGUUUGUUAUUCCGGUCCCUCUCGGAGCCCUUCCCUCCGUGUGCCCCGGUCUCAGCCGCGAGGUCUCUGCUGGAGCCCCUCGAUGCGGUGCCCGAUGAGGCGCCGGCUGCCGCUGAUGUUCCCCAUCUGCGGAAGCUCCGCGGGCUCCGCUGCGCCGGACACGGGGCUGCUCGCUCCUGCGGCUCAGGGCACCGGCUGCUCGGGCACCGAUCUCGUUAUGCCCCUCGGCGUGGUGAGGCAGUGGAGUCUUCCUAGAGACGUGGGCAGCGCUCCUGCUGGAGUCAAACAAACCGAAGGCCCUGGACACAAGGUCUGUGCUUGGUGGAAGGCGAGAGCCGUCCCUAAGGGAUAACGGACGCCCCUGGACACUUGAGCAUUCCUGCUGGAGUCAAACAAAUGGAAAGCCUUGGACGCAAGGGCUGUGCUUGGUGGAAAGCGAGUGCCGUCCCUGAGGAAUAAUGGACACCCCCGGACACCCGAGGUGGCUCCAGCAUCCCAGCCCCUCUGACGCGGCUUUGCAGCCCUCCUGGGGCCAGGAGAAGUGAUUUGCGUGGGAUGGGCUGCAGGGACACCAGAAUGACCAGAGGAGCAGCAGGAAUGCUGCGGAAACGGUGGCUUUGCCACGUCUCCCUGGGGUCCCCUCUCCAGGGCAGCGACUGCAGCUUGGCCUGUGGGGCUGGGGGUUCCUAGUAGCUCCCGAUUUCCACCUCGGGGUUUAACUGGGACCAGUGACUGUCCAUUAGAGCUCCGUGUGCCGCGUCUCCCACCCAGGUCCUGCGGGAGAUGGGGACCCA